Molecule: long non-coding RNA, 627 nt
Filed under: Phasianus colchicus (ring-necked pheasant)
Lineage: Eukaryota; Metazoa; Chordata; Aves; Galliformes; Phasianidae
Description: lncRNA (ENSPCLG00000005537.1)
Source: RNAcentral
GUUUUGAACCAAGCCCUGUGAAGGAGAGAACACAAAAAUCCCCAGUUUAGCAGCCUUAGCCUUUAUGAGAGACGCUCUGCUCUUUCACGAGAACAAACCUGUGCUUCUUCAUGCAAAGAGCGAGUGAGGAAGGUGAAAAGCAUUCCUGUUAAAUAUUCUACCCGAAUGUUUGAAACUGACAGCCACACAGAGGAAAAAACCCCACACGCCAUGUGAGGCUGUGUGAGGCUCACUGCAAAGAACGGCUUCUGUGCGAGGCAGGGGGAGAAAAGGUCACUCACAACACCCACUGCCAGUUGUAUUUUUAAACCUUUAUUAUGUCCAUUCUCAGCAGCCCAAUCCAUGACGGAGGUUCCGGUGUGUGCAGGCGGCCAGGUGUGCUGGAGUCGGUCCCUAAGAUCUCAGCUUGUGAGUGGAAACGUGCAGCUGGCUGCUGGUAACUCCAACAACUGCCUAGACUUCAGCCAAGGAUGAUUUUGGUAAAGAGGGGUUGUCAGGACAGCCCCAGUGCUACCAGGUAUGUGUGUGCCACACCUGCUGCCCACAGCCCUUCCUGCAGAGUGCUAUGGCCGUGCCUCUGACCCUCACCCAUGGCCUGGACUGGCCUUUGGCACAGGCUACACCCCA